Molecule: small RNA, 655 nt
Filed under: Pan troglodytes (chimpanzee)
Lineage: Eukaryota; Metazoa; Chordata; Mammalia; Primates; Hominidae
Description: retained intron
Source: RNAcentral
CAGGGCCUGGUGGUCCCAGCAGCCUGAGUCCAGCCCCCGGUGGUCAGAAAGGAAGGCCUUCCAGACUCUUGCUCGGCUGUGGUCUCCCUACCUCACUCCAUUUCUGGGUGCUCGGCUUUUGCCCUGCAUGAGCCAGAGGAGCUGCUGGGGUGCAAGGACGCCAACUGACCGCAUCCUGCGCCUCCCGGCUUCCCAGGACAUGCUGGCCCUGCAGAUCAUCGACCUCUUCAAGAACAUCUUCCAGCUGGUCGGCCUGGACCUCUUUGUUUUUCCCUACCGCGUGGUGGCCACUGCCCCUGGGUGUGGGGUGAUCGAGUGCAUCCCCGACUGCACCUCCCGGGACCAGCUGGGCCGCCAGACAGACUUCGGCAUGUACGACUACUUCACACGCCAGUACGGGGAUGAGUCCACCCUGGCCUUCCAGCAGGCCCGCUACAACUUCAUCCGAAGCAUGGCCGCCUACAGCCUCCUGCUGUUCCUGCUGCAGAUCAAGGACAGACACAACGGCAACAUUAUGCUGGACAAGAAGGGCCAUAUCAUCCACAUCGACUUUGGCUUCAUGUUUGAAAGCUCGCCGGGCGGCAAUCUCGGCUGGGAACCCGACAUCAAGCUGACGGAUGAGAUGGUGAUGAUCAUGGGGGGCAAGAUGGAGGCC